CCUACGGGCGGCUGCAGUGGGGAAUAUUGGACAAUGGGGGCAACCCUGAUCCAGCCAUGCCGCGUGUGUGAAGAAGGCCCUCGGGUUGUAAAGCACUUUCAGUGAGGAAGAACGCCUGGUGGUUAAUACCCAUCAGGAAAGACAUCACUCACAGAAGAAGCACCGGCUAACUCCGUGCCAGCAGCCGCGGUAAUACGGAGGGUGCGAGCGUUAAUCGGAAUUACUGGGCGUAAAGCGCGCGUAGGUGGCUUGAUAAGCCGGUUGUGAAAGCCCUGGGCUCAACCUGGGAACGGCAUCCGGAACUGUCAAGCUAGAGUGCAGGAGAGGAAGGUAGAAUUCCCGGUGUAGCGGUGAAAUGCGUAGAGAUCGGGAGGAAUACCAGUGGCGAAGGCGGCCUUCUGGACUGACACUGACACUGAGGUGCGAAAGCGUGGGUAGCAAACAGGAUUAGAUACCCCUGUAGUC
Molecule: ribosomal RNA, 465 nt
Filed under: Vreelandella stevensii
Lineage: Bacteria; Pseudomonadati; Pseudomonadota; Gammaproteobacteria; Oceanospirillales; Halomonadaceae
Description: partial 16S ribosomal RNA
Rfam family: Bacterial small subunit ribosomal RNA
Source: RNAcentral